Phalacrocorax carbo (great cormorant) is the source of this 387-nucleotide non-coding RNA. The record is from RefSeq and is a predicted model, not a curated record. Lineage: Eukaryota; Metazoa; Chordata; Aves; Suliformes; Phalacrocoracidae.
GGGCUGGAAAUGUCACCAGAACAAAGGUUGCUCAGGAGGUUUGCACGCGGGCCUUUCCGCUGUGCAGGGCUUUGGGAAGUUCUGCAGCCUCUCGUCUUUUUUCACGUUGUCAUCGGGAAGGGAACUGUGCUCUGAAGGCACUCUUGAAAGCAAUCCCUGGGGUUCCCAGGGAGCUCGGUGUGGCAGAGGGAGCCCCGGUUACAGAGCGGCCUUUGUGGAGCAGGUCCGUGGGCUCUCCGCCACCGGCGCCGCGGGGGAGCCUUGUAAUAAUGACACCGGCAUCGACCAGAUGUCUUCUGGAGGAUUUGGUUUCAGGACGCAGGGCUGCUAGUUCAGGAGGACGUGUGUGUGGGGUUUCUGCUCUAAUAUACAUGAUUUGUUUAAAAA